RNAcentral lists this ribosomal RNA (127 nucleotides) under Oncocalamus mannii. RNAcentral describes it as "5.8S ribosomal RNA". It matches the Rfam family "5.8S ribosomal RNA", at positions 1 to 122 of the family's 154-position model. From Rfam's summary of the family: 5.8S ribosomal RNA (5.8S rRNA) is a component of the large subunit of the eukaryotic ribosome. It is transcribed by RNA polymerase I as part of the 45S precursor that also contains 18S and 28S rRNA. The record is from RNAcentral. Lineage: Eukaryota; Viridiplantae; Streptophyta; Magnoliopsida; Arecales; Arecaceae.
GGUACGACUCUCGGCAAUGGAUAUCUUAGCUCUCGCAUCGACGAAGAAUGUAGCGAAAUGCGAUACGUGGUGUGAAUUGCAGAAUCCCACGAACCAUCGAGUCUUUGAACGCGAGUUGCGCCCGAGG